ACGGCCAAACCAUGCUGAAUAUACCGGUUCUCGUUAGAUCACCGAAGUAAAGCAUCAUUGGGCGCGGUCAGUACUUGACCACCUGGGAACACUGCGUGCCGCUG
Molecule: non-coding RNA, 104 nt
Organism: Caerostris darwini
Lineage: Eukaryota; Metazoa; Arthropoda; Arachnida; Araneae; Araneidae
Source: the annotation of a GenBank genome assembly